Colius striatus (speckled mousebird) is the source of this 1299-nucleotide RNA transcript. It is a transcript of the gene named collagen alpha-1(XXVII) chain-like, with no coding region annotated. NCBI's taxonomy places the organism in Eukaryota, Metazoa, Chordata, Aves, Coliiformes, Coliidae. The record is from RefSeq and is a predicted model, not a curated record. The transcript is spliced from 7 exons.
CGCGCUGGGAGUCUGCGCUCAGUUUUUCCUUCUGUCAACCUCCGUCUAACGGGCUGUCCUGGCAUCCCCGGGGCAUGCUGGGGACCAAGUGCGGGCACACAGCAAGCACUUAAUUUAUGGCAGUUUUGUGCACAUUUGUGAAGGAUGAUGCUGAGAUAGGGGCGCGUAUUUGACAUAUUCCCUGCGGCGGCAGGGCAUGAUGUGGAAGUGCUGCUUCACGGGAACCCGAUGCUGUAAAGGCUCACGAAUUCCUCGCAACCCGCCCGUCUCCCCCACGCCCCUUCUGCGGGGCUCCGCCGCCCACCCGGGGCUGCCGCAGGCGGCGGGCGGGCCGGGCCGGCCGGGGCUGCGCCAGCAGUCGCUGGAGGGAGUGGAACGACCCCCGAGCUCCGCGGGGCGUGGCGCCGGGGCCCGCCAUCCCCAGGGAGGCUGGAACGCGGUGCGCGGUGUUAGUGCCUAUUAUAAGAAAUAAGGAAAAGCAUAUGUCCUGUCCAGGCUGUGCUUCCCAAGACAGACAAGAUCCAAAUUCCAGGGCAGUACUACAUGCCAUCGAAUCAGCGGUUAUUAGGAGGUCACAUCAGUUUGAUGAUACUGUGAAUAGAGAUUCUAUUGAACCUCUUCUGUAUGGCUUUCAUCCAGACCCCUAAACUGAGGUGAACUUCUGGAAAGCAAGAAAAGACAAUCUUUUAUAUCUAAAUGGGCAACUCUGUGGAGUCAAACGCCAUCUCUGAGAGCAGGGAGUUAUGAAUUCAAUUCUUCUUGAAGUAAAGAAGCUGGCGAGCUCUGAUUUGCCUCCGUGCAGAGCAGCAUUGAUGAUUGAACUAAAACUUAGUGGAGACAGAUUAAUGUGGAACAGAUGGAUGUGCAGCUCAGAAGAUUUGCCAAGACAGGUUCCAUAGCUGUCUUUUUCCGCAAUUUAUCUGUCUCAUUGCCACCACUCCCUCACUCUUCCCACCCACUUGGAUAUUUCAGUGGAUUUGUUAGUCACGUCCAAACCAACCGAAUGUUCUGGAAUGUCUUUUGUUUUGAGGCUUUCCUUUAAAACCUUUUUCUUCUGGGUGACUUUCCAGUCCCUGUGGAGGUCAGACGUUUAGUAGCAGAAGACACUACCUUAACAUACCUUUUGGGAAGAUGAAAUGCAACACAUUGUUGACAACGCAGUGAAAAACUUGGGUACUAAAAAGAUUUUGGCAGAAAAGCCAAACGUUGGCUGCCAUGGAAUUUUAUGAAGAGUGUCCCAGGAAUGGAGUUCCUUUUAUAAAAAAGUCAGAUGAACAGCUACUUGAAACUUCAGAUAAC